This 2663-nucleotide ribosomal RNA is filed under the name Cryptomonas curvata. RNAcentral describes it as "LSU rRNA". It matches the Rfam family "Bacterial large subunit ribosomal RNA". The record is from RNAcentral. Lineage: Eukaryota; Cryptophyceae; Cryptomonadales; Cryptomonadaceae.
GAAUAUGAGGUGGAUGUCUAGGUAUAUAAAACAAGGACGUAGCGUAUUUACGAAAAGCCAUAAUUAGAAACGCAAUUAACUUAUAACUUAUGGGUCUCCUUUGGUAAACCGUACGUUUUUAGUACUUAUUAACUAAAUUAAUUGAAACAUCUUAUUAGUUUAAGGAAAAAAAAUCAAACGAGAUUUUAUGAGUAGCGGCGAGCGAAAGUGAACAAGGGUAAAGGUAUACUUUCACUACAAAAUAAUUUGAAAAAAUUAGCCUUAGAAGGUUAAAGCCCUGUAUUUAAGACAAUGUAUAUCUUUUUAGUAAAAAAGAACUCGUGAAAUUCUUUUUGAAUAAUGGAGGACCUUACUUCAAACCCUAAAUAUCUUUAUAUAACCGAUAGCGAAAUAGUACUGUAAAGGAACGAUGAAAAGAAUUCUUAAAUGGAAGUGAAAAGAUUCUAAAACCUGAUAUUUACAACCAACCGAAGUAUUUUUUAUAUGACGGUUUGCCUUUUGUAUCAUGCAUUAGCGACUUUAAAAUUAUAGCAAGCUUAAAUCACUAGAUGGAAGCCUAGUUAACGCAAGCUUUAAAAAGCUUAACAAGUUAUAAUUUUAAGACCCGAAUCCAAGUGAUCUAAUUAUAAACAAGCUAAAUACAUAAUAAUUUAUGUGGGAAGGUUUAACUCGUUACUGUUGCAAAAGUUUGAGAUGAUUUAUUAUUAGGGGUGAAAGGCCAAUCAAACUUGGUGAUAGCUGGUUUUCCACGAAAUAUAUUUAGGUAUAGCGUAAUUUUUUUAAGGCAAAGGGUAAAGCUCUUUUUAAACUAGGGGGGUUAAUAGCCUUACUGAAUUUAGAUAAACUCUGAAUAUUUGCUUAUUUUAAAAUUGCAGUCAGACUUUGAGUGCUAAGAUUCAUAGUCAAGAGGGAAACAGCCCAGAUUAUUAACUAAGGUCCAAAAAUGAUUGCUAAGUGAUAAAGAUAGUGAUUAAACCAAGAUAACUAGAAGGUAAGCUUGGAAGCAGCUAUCCUUUAAAAAAUGCGUAAUAGCAUACUAGUUGAAAACCUUUGUUUAAGUUUAAUUGCAUCGAAAAUUUAUAGGGCUUAUGCUUUCUACCGAAGUUAUAAACUUUUUAAAGUGAUAGUGGAACGUUUUUUAAGCUGAUAAAUUUAGAUUGAAAAAUCUAAAGAAAGUAUAAAAAGUGAGAAUGCUAAUAUGAGUAACGUUAUACAAUGUAAAAACCAUUGUCGCUUAACAAUUCAAGGUUUUCUACGUAAUGUUAAUCAGCGUAGAUUUAGUCGGUGUCUAAGAAUAAAUAACGAUAGUUAUGUUCGAUGAUUUAUUAUCAUAUUAAAAAGAAAGACGCAAUGUUUUUUGUAUGAUUAAUAAAUGGUUUUUUUUUAUGCAAAAAACAUUGCCAAGAAAUAUUUCUUUUAUUAUUUACCGUACUUAACCAACAAAGGAGAAUAAGUAUUACAAUACUAAAGCGUUUGAAUUAAUCAUUCUUAAGGAACUCGGCAAAAAGAUUCUGUAACUUCGGGAUAAAGAAUGCCUUUAAAAAGGCUAUAUAAAUAAAGGAUAGCGACUAGUUAUUAAAACUACAAGACUUUGCUAAAUUGUAAAAUGAUGUAUAAGGUCUGAUGUCUGCCCAGUGCUAAAAAGUCACACAAGAUAGUUAAAAGCUAUUAAGUUAAGCUUUAGUAAACGGCGGUUGUAACUCUAACAAUCCUAAGGUAGCGAAAUUCCUAGUCAAUUAAUUGUUGACCUGCAUGAAAGACAUAACGACUUUCCUACUGUCUCAAGAAUGAAUUCAGUGAAAUUAGAUUUUGCGUGAAGAUACGCAAUUACGAUAGUAAGACGGAAAGACCCCAUAAACCUUAACUAUAAUCUUAAACUGUUUUUACUUAUAAUUUGCGUAGUAAUAAGUGGUAAUCGCUAAUAUGUCUUAGUGUCAGCUAAUUACAGAGAUAACAAUGAAAGACCACUCUGAUUAUAAUGUAUAACUAAAUUAAAUAUUAAUGACAAUUUAAGAUGGUUAGUUUGACUGGGGCGGUAGUCUCCAAAAUGGUAACGGAGACCUACAAAGGUAAGUUCAAGCUUGAUUAAAACAAGCUUUCGAGUAUAAUGGCAUAUACUUGCUUGACUGUAAGACAAACAAGUCGAACAGAGACGAAAGUCGGUCAUAGUGAUCCUAUAAUUUUGAAUGGAUAAGUUAUAGCUUAAGGAAUAAAAGGUACUUUGGGGAUAACAGGCUGAUAAUUCUCAAGAGCUCUUAUCGACAGAAUUGUUUGGCACCUCGAUGUCGACUCUUCAUAUCCUGGGGCUGAAAAAGGUCCCAAUGGUUUGGCUGUUCGCCAAUUAAAAUGGAACGUGAGUUGGGUUUAGAACGUUGUAAAACAGUUUGGUCCCUAUCUGCUAUCGUUGUAUAAUAAUUUUAAAGACUUGUUUUUAGUACGAGAGGACCAAAACAAAAUAACCUAUGAUUUGUCGAUUGUUUUACCAAAAGCAAGUUGAGUAGUUACGUUAUUUUUUUAUAACUGCUGAAAGCAUCAAUGCAGGAAGAAAACUUUAAAUCAAAUUAUUUUAAAAUCGUUAUAGUUGAUUACGUAAUAGGUAAUUUGUAAGUUAUGGUAACAUAUAUGCUAAAUUAUACUAAUUUAACUUUAUAUUUAAGUAAAUU